CAACGUUGACAAAAACCAAAACCGAAACAACAUUAGACUACUCAGUUACGCCCUAACAGUAUAACUUUGCAAACAGUACUUUUUCUUAUUCAAUCGAACAAAGAGUAAAACCAACUUAUAUUAUUCUAUUAUACCCCGAGAAUGUAAAUUUGCAACUUAUCGAUGUCAACGUUCACAAGAACGAAAACCGGAAGAACAUUAGACUACUCAGUUGCGCCCUAACAGCAUAACUUU
RNAcentral lists this long non-coding RNA (234 nucleotides) under Ananas comosus (pineapple). Its description in RNAcentral is "long non-coding RNA (ACOM_LNC039815)". Lineage: Eukaryota; Viridiplantae; Streptophyta; Magnoliopsida; Poales; Bromeliaceae. The record is from RNAcentral.